AGGACUAACGCUGGCGGCGUGCCUAACACAUGCAAGUCGAGCGGGGUAGCAAUACCCAGCGGCAGACGGGUGAGUAACGCGUGGUCAACCUUCCGUUGAAUGGGGGAUAACUAGCCGAAAGGUUAGCUAAUACCGCAUACGAUCUUUUGAAGGCAUCUUUAAAAGAUGAAAGGAGCAAUUCGUUCAACGACGGGACCGCGUCCCAUUAGCUAGAUGGUGGGGUAAUGGCCUACCAUGGCAACGAUGGGUAGCUGGUUUGAGAGAGCGACCAGCCACACUGGGACUGAGAAACGGCCCAGACUCCUACGGGAGGCAGCAGUGAGGAAUUUUCCGCAAUGGGCGAAAGCCUGACGGAGCGACGCCGCGUGUGGGAAGAAGGCCUUCGGGUCGUAAACCACUGGUCGAAGGGGACGAUAAUGACGGUACCCUUGGAGGAAGCCCCGGCUAACUACGUGCCAGCAGCCGC
Molecule: ribosomal RNA, 466 nt
Filed under: uncultured bacterium
Lineage: Bacteria
Description: SSU rRNA
Rfam family: Bacterial small subunit ribosomal RNA
Source: RNAcentral